UGGGGAAUAUUGCACAAUGGGCGCAAGCCUGAUGCAGCAACGCCGCGUGAGGGAUGACGGCCUUCGGGUUGUAAACCUCUUUUAGCAGGGAAGAAGCGAAAGUGACGGUACCUGCAGAAAAAAGCACCGGCUAACUACGUGCCAGCAGCCGCGGUAAUACGUAGGGUGCAAGCGUUGUCCGGAAUUAUUGGGCGUAAAGAGCUCGUAGGCGGUCUGUCGCGUCUGCUGUGAAAUCCCGAGGCUCAACCUCGGGCCUGCAGUGGGUACGGGCAGACUAGAGUGCGGUAGGGGAGAAUGGAACUCCUGGUGUAGCGGUGGAAUGCGCAGAUAUCAGGAAGAACACCGAUGGCGAAGGCAGUUCUCUGGGCCGUAACUGACGCUGAGGAGCGAAAAGCGUGGGGAGCGAACAGGAUUAGAUACCCUGGUAGUCCACGCCGUAAAACGUUGGGCGCUAGAUGUGGGGACCAUUCCACGGUUUCCGUGUCGCAGCUAACGCAUU
Molecule: ribosomal RNA, 499 nt
Filed under: uncultured bacterium
Lineage: Bacteria
Description: partial 16S ribosomal RNA
Rfam family: Bacterial small subunit ribosomal RNA
Source: RNAcentral